This 331-nucleotide ribosomal RNA is filed under the name Pseudomonas sp. Its description in RNAcentral is "partial 16S ribosomal RNA". The record is from RNAcentral. Lineage: Bacteria; Pseudomonadati; Pseudomonadota; Gammaproteobacteria; Pseudomonadales; Pseudomonadaceae.
UCUCUUGAGAGCGGCGGACGGGUGAGUAWUGCCUAGGAAUCUGCCUGRUAGUGGGGGAUAACGUUCGGAAACGGACGCUAAUACCGCAUACGUCCUACGGGAGAAAGCAGGGGACCUUCGGGCCUUGCGCUAUCAGAUGAGCCUAGGUCGGAUUAGCUAGUUGGUGAGGUAAUGGCUCACCAAGGCGACGAUCCGUAACUGGWCUGAGAGGAUGAUCAGUCACACUGRAACUGAGACACGUCCAGACUCCUACGGGAGGCAGCRGWGKKGAAUAUUGGACAAUGGCGAAAGCUGAUCCAGCCUGCCGCGUGUGUGAAGAAGGCUUCGGUUG